GACGAACGCUGGCGGCGUGCUUAACACAUGCAAGUCGAACGGAAAGGCCCUGCUUUUGGGGGGUGCUCGAGUGGCGAACGUGUGAGUAACACGUGUGAAACCUGCCCUUGACUUUGGUAUAACUUCGGGAAACUGGGUCUAAUAGCGGAUAGGAGCUCCUGCUGCAUGGUGGGGGUGGGAAGGUUUCGGCGGGUGGGGAUGGACUCGCGGCUUAUCAGGUUGUUGGUGGGGUAGUGGCGUACCAAGGCUUUGACGGGUAGCCGGCCUGAGAGGGUGACCGGCCACAUUGGGACUGAGAUACGGCCCAGACUGCUACGGGAGGCAGCAGUGGGGAAUAUUGCACAAUGGGCGGAAGCCUGAUGCAGCAACGCCGCGUGCGGGAUGACGGCCUUCGGGUUGUAAACCGCUUUCGCCUGUGACGAAGCGUGAGUGACGGUAAUGGGUAAAGAAGCACCGGCUAACUAUGUG
RNAcentral lists this ribosomal RNA (468 nucleotides) under uncultured bacterium. RNAcentral's name for it is "partial 16S ribosomal RNA". It matches the Rfam family "Bacterial small subunit ribosomal RNA", at positions 28 to 507 of the family's 1533-position model. The record is from RNAcentral.